RNAcentral lists this ribosomal RNA (253 nucleotides) under uncultured bacterium. RNAcentral's name for it is "partial 16S ribosomal RNA". It matches the Rfam family "Bacterial small subunit ribosomal RNA", at positions 524 to 776 of the family's 1533-position model. The record is from RNAcentral.
UACGGAGGGUGCAAGCGUUAAUCGGAAUUACUGGGCGUAAAGCGUGCGUAGGUGGUUGAUUAAGUUAUCUGUGAAAUACCUGGGCUUAACCUGGGCAGGUCAGAUGAUACUGAUUGACUCGAGUAUGGGAGAGGGUAGUGGAAUUUCCGGUGUAGCGGUGAAAUGCGUAGAGAUCGGAAGGAACACCAGUGGCGAAGGCGGCUACCUGGCCUAAUACUGACACUGAGGCACGAAAGCGUGGGGAGCAAACAGG